AAUCAACACAGUGGAGGCGAGAAGUCUGGCCUUGCGCCGGCCGGGGAGCUUUUCGCCAAGGCUCCUGUGGGAUGGGAUAGCUUGUUCUCUGGGCUGCAGGAACCAAAACAUUAGACCACCCUUUCUGUGACCUUGGGCAUGCCGCCCUCGGUUCCGAGCCGCAAGUCUUUCUUUCGGGGAAAAUGAAAAGGGGUCAAGAUUUGGACCAGAUGACACCCAAUGUCCCAUUCAACGGUCGCAUUCUGUCAUCCACAGGAAUUAGUCCUGUAUCCGAAACAUUCUCUGGAGCCUGGAGACAGAUGGAGGGGAAGACAGAAGAGAGAUUAAGGAGAAGAAUGGUUUCAUUUGGAAGGACACUGACUAAGGAAAAACAGAGAAAAGGAUGAAACCCAAGCCAACUCUGCAACUCUAUUAAAAACACCAAGACUUCAAUAUGAACCUGGCAUGGUGGGCACAGUCGGGCACUGCAGGCGGCUUGCCUCCAGCAGAAGGAAUACUGCUACUCAGCUCUAGAUGAUUGCCCUGAAGAAAUUCAUGCCCACUGAAUCUCCUUAAAGGGAGGCAGUGCAUUCUUCAUGGCUAGAGCUUCAGCAGCUAUCUAGAACCAUAUGGUGGAAGCCACUUACUGAGAACUGUGAAACAAGAGCCUGGGUCCCUGACAUAUGAAGCCACCAUACCUACCUUAAAGUGUCUUUCACUUGAGGGAAAAAUACAUCUUUCUUAGAGAUUUGAAUUUUAAUGUCCCAGAAAUAUAAAGAAGAUGGCAUUAAAAUGUCCUAUAUGUUGGCAGUCCUACCCUGAAGACUUUUUUUGCUUAUCUUUUGUUCUGAGCUACAGUCUUCGCAGAGACUAAAUUAGUGACUGGACAACAGAAGAAAAUAGACCAUCCUGGCUAAAAUGGUGAAACCCCAUCUCUACUAAAAACACAAAAAAUUAGCUGGGCAUGUUAGCGGGUGCCUGUAGUCCCAGCUACUCGGGAGGCUGAGGCAAGAAAAUGGCGUGAACCUGGGAGGCGGAGCUUGCAGUGAGCUGAGAUCGCGCCACUGCACUCCAGCAUGGGGGAUAGAGCGAGACUCCGUCUCAAAAAAAAAAAAAAAAAAAAAAAAAAGAAAAUAGAAACGGGAAAUAUUCAUGUCAGCUGUUAAAAACCAGUUUUGUAAAGCAAGGCCUAAAAGUCCUAUCUCUGGCAUGUUUAGUAUUUGGCCAACUGGUUAGGUCUAGC
This 1222-nucleotide long non-coding RNA is filed under the name Homo sapiens (human). Its description in RNAcentral is "non-protein coding lnc-LXN-1:5". The record is from RNAcentral. Lineage: Eukaryota; Metazoa; Chordata; Mammalia; Primates; Hominidae.